GAGGAUGCUACUGUGUUCCUCCUAGAGAUACUGGACGUUACUCGCAAUACUAGCGCCGGCUAACUCUGUGCCAGCAGCCGCGGUAAUACAGAGGGUGCAAGCGUAAUCGGAUUUACUGGGCGUAAAGCGCGCGUAGGCGGCUAAUUAAGUCAAAUGUGAAAUCCCCGAGCUUAACUUGGGAAUUGCAUUCGAUACUGGUUAGCUAGAGUGUGGGAGAGGAUGGUAGAAUUCCAGGUGUAGCGGUGAAAUGCGUAGAGAUCUGGAGGAAUACCGAUGGCGAAGGCAGCCAUCUGGCCUAACACUGACGCUGAGGUGCGAAAGCAUGGGGAGCAAACAGGAUUAGAUACCCUGGUAGUCCAUGCCGUAAACGAUGUCUACUAGCCGUUGGGGCCUUUGAGGCUUUAGUGGCGCAGCUAACGCGAUAAGUAGACCGCCUGGGGAGUACGGUCGCAAGACUAAAACUCAAAUGAAUUGACGGGGGCCCGCACAAGCGGUGGAGCAUGUGGUUUAAUUCGAUGCAACGCGAAGAACCUUACCUGGCCUUGACAUAGUAAGAACUUUCCGAGAUGGAUUGGUGCUUCGGGGAACUUCAUACCAGGGCUGCUUGGCUGCGGCCAGUCGUGUCGUGAGAGGUGGGGUAAGUCC
Molecule: ribosomal RNA, 645 nt
Filed under: uncultured bacterium
Lineage: Bacteria
Description: bacterial SSU rRNA
Rfam family: Bacterial small subunit ribosomal RNA
Source: RNAcentral